AAACCUCUCCACUUUUUUUUUGUUUCUUUUGUGUUCUGUCUCUCUCCCAAACUCCCCUCCUCAAUUCCAUUUGAUUCUCAUCGACCUGGCGACCUCAGUACCUCAAUACUCAGCCGCUCAGGUAGUGGUUGUUUAGCAAUUUUCUGGGAUUCUAAGAAUUGAGAAAAUUGGAGAAGGAGUGGUCAGCGGACUGCGGACUCAGAGUCUCAUCUCAGUCAUCCGAGUCUUUGAUCUUCAAGAAAUCAGCUAAGAAGGCAAGGAGAUGGAUUUUCAAAUGAAUAUCAAUCAGUACUGAUGGAAGAAUGUAUUAUUUUGAGGGUUUUAGAUGAAGCAUCUUUUUGUAAUAUUUUUUGUUGCAAACUUUACACUUGUAUUGAGUAUUUAGCCUCUAUUGUAGGCUCAUCUAAUGAGCUAUCAUUGAUCAUUGUUGGCUAUUUGAUUUUAUAUGGUGAGUUUGUUCAAGUAUAAAUAUAAAACUAAAGCUUGGAGGGCCACAUUUUAAGUUUCGCACAGGGCCUCCGAAAAGUUUGAGACGGCU
Molecule: long non-coding RNA, 538 nt
Organism: Rosa rugosa (rugosa rose)
Lineage: Eukaryota; Viridiplantae; Streptophyta; Magnoliopsida; Rosales; Rosaceae
Exons: 3
Source: RefSeq, a predicted model, not a curated record